AUGCAAGUCGCACGAGAACGCUUCAGCUUGCUGAAGCUAGUAAAGUGGCGUACGGGUGAGUAUCGCGUGGGUAAUCUACCUCUGAAUUGGGGAUAACAUUGCGAAAGCGAUGCUAAUACCGGAUAAUAUCCAUUGAACCUCGGUUUUUUGGAUCAAAGGUGGCCUCUACAUGUAAGCUACUGUUUGGAGACGAGCCCGCGUACCAUUAGCUUGUUGGUAGGGUAACGGCUUACCAAGGCAACGAUGGUUAGCUGGUCUGAGAGGAUGAUCAGCCACACUGGAACUGACACACGGUCCAGACUCCUACGGGAGGCAGCAGUGAGGAAUUUUGCGCAAUGGGGGAAACCCUGACGCAGCAGCGCCGCGUGAGUGAUGAAGGCUUUCGGGUCGUAAAGCUCUGUCAAGUGGGAAGAACCCGCGCCGCACAAAUAGUGCGGUGCGCUGACGGUACCACUGAAGGAAGCACCGGCUAACUCCGUGCCAGCAGCCGCGGUAAUACG
Molecule: ribosomal RNA, 500 nt
Filed under: uncultured bacterium
Lineage: Bacteria
Description: bacterial SSU rRNA
Rfam family: Bacterial small subunit ribosomal RNA
Source: RNAcentral